GUAAAGGUGCGGUUAAACGUGGCAAUGCAAGCUCUUUUUCUACGCAUUUUGCUAUCAAAAUGCGAAAUCGAAAGUCUACUUUCCCGUGUUAACAGCUGGUAAAUUCUUUU
Long non-coding RNA from Rhagoletis zephyria (snowberry fruit fly), 110 nucleotides. RefSeq lists it as uncharacterized. NCBI's taxonomy places the organism in Eukaryota, Metazoa, Arthropoda, Insecta, Diptera, Tephritidae. The record is from RefSeq and is a predicted model, not a curated record.